CGAAGUAACCAAUCCGCCUGCCGCGCCCUUUCAGCCUUCGCUGAAUCUCGCCGCAAAACAAGGAGGUUUUACGGAUCUAACGUAACUUGGAAAAACCACCUUUCAGCCCCUGCGUGUUUCUCCUCCCGAAGGUCCAGGUGCGCCUGCUCUCUCGUGCACCGCGGUCAUUCCAGGCCGUCCUCUGUCUCAGGCCUUUGUACUUGGGAAGGCCUUCCCUAGAUCCCACCUGUGCUGUAACUCCUCCCUCCACGUUUGCAUUCAUGGGGCACGCGGCAGCCCAGAGCACUCCUUCUCCCGCACCGCCCCAAGCCUUCCCUGGCUUCCCAGGCCGAGGAGCCCUCUCGAUCGCUCCCUCCACGUGCCAGCCUACCCAGGCCCAACACAUUCUGAAAUUUCUUAUUUGUGGUGAUUAUCUGACCCUGACUUCGGAAAGUAAAAUAUAGCGCCACUGAGCACUACAGAACGAGGACAGAAGAGAGGGCGGUGAAGGAUGUUAAGAAAUCACCGUGUCAAUGACUACGUGUUGUGCACCUCUAUUUGCCAGCGCCAGAUCGUGAAGAAUGCAAGGUUGAAUCUGAUCCACAGCGCUUUCCGUGUAGCUCAGUAGGCAAAGGGUCAGAAGUCUGAGCAGUUGUCAGAUCAGUUUGAAGUACGGACCGUCAGUCAGGAUAAAUCAGGGGAGAUCUUUGUUCUCGAUAAAAAUGUUUACCCUUGUUGUAACUACCCAAUGAGCUUUACAAUCUUCUCAUGGGUGCCCCAACGCCAGUAUCAACAUCAGGCUGUAUCAACGCCAGUAUCAAAUUCAGGACUGAAUAAUCUGGCCAUGACUGUACCAUCUCCCCCAACACAGUAGUUUGGAGGCAUUCAGGCUCGACCUUUUAGCGAAGUGCAAGUACUCCAUCGAUUCAGCGGAGACUUUUGAAGGACGAAUUCUCACCUUCUUUGGAAUAAGCAGGCUAUGUUAACCAGGGACAAGGGGUGGGGGCCACACAAAAACCCCACCCUGGAAAUUCUUUUCUCAGAAUUACACAGGUUGGAACUGUAUCCUGGAACCUCAUUCUCAACAGAUAGUUGCCCAGUAGAGCAAAACACACUGUCUCGAAAAUCCAAUAACAAAAUGUUCAUUCAGUGCGUUAUCAUACCUCCCGAGAUAACAAAGGACAUCAAAUCAUCAUCAGCUCUUUCUGCCCAGGCAAUUCGUAUAGCUCCCUUCUCCUUCUGGGCCCGCAGAAGGAGACCACCCACUUCAAAGUCAGCACCACUGGGUUAUUUCCAGAAGAGGGCAGAGGGAUGUGGGUAGUAGUACUGGUUUGUGAUUUUCUGUAAUUCUGACAUUUGGUUGCCCCAAAUGCCUCCUCAAUUAAUCUGGGGAGAGGGCUGGAACAGAAAUGGCUCGAGCCCACUAGACUGUGGUUGGCCCCAGGGGGCGCAACCCUCUGUUCAGACGUUCACAAUAAAAAUCCAGGGACACACUGGCCAUGACAAGGACAGGGUCAAUGUAUGGACAUUCUCAAAUGCAAUACUUGGUUAUUUCAUUGUGCAAGAAAACAUGAUUAUGCAUUUCAAAAUUAAGUCAUUUCUAUAUUUUAAAUUCGUAUUAAUAGAAAUUGAAUGCUAUUUAUUUAAAUAACUUUUAAUAAAUGUUAU
Callorhinus ursinus (northern fur seal) is the source of this 1647-nucleotide long non-coding RNA. RefSeq lists it as uncharacterized. The record is from RefSeq and is a predicted model, not a curated record. NCBI's taxonomy places the organism in Eukaryota, Metazoa, Chordata, Mammalia, Carnivora, Otariidae.